Small nucleolar RNA from Otolemur garnettii (small-eared galago), 154 nucleotides. The record is from Ensembl. Lineage: Eukaryota; Metazoa; Chordata; Mammalia; Primates; Galagidae.
AGUUAAACUUCCAUGGCAUGCUUAAAUCAUGUUGAUCAAAACAAGAAUCAACUGGGCCUCUCAUAAUGCCCCACACCAGAGCAAACUGUGGCCCUGAACCAUUGCCUGGCCUCUGUGUCCAUAGGCUGCUGGCACUGAAGUGGGUUGCACAGAG